This 259-nucleotide ribosomal RNA is filed under the name uncultured bacterium. Its description in RNAcentral is "partial 16S ribosomal RNA". It matches the Rfam family "Bacterial small subunit ribosomal RNA", at positions 95 to 354 of the family's 1533-position model. The record is from RNAcentral.
UUGGCGAACGGGUGAGUAACACGUGAGCAACCUGCCCUAUACAACGGGAUAACACAGAGAAAUUUGUGCUAAUACGGUAUAAGACCACAGUAUCGCAUGAUACAGGGGUAAAAGAUUUAUCGGUAUAGGAUGGGCUCGCGACCCAUUAGCUAGUUGGUGAGGUAACGGCCCACCAAGGCAACGAUGGGUAGCCGACCUGAGAGGGUGAUCGGCCACACUGGGACUGAGACACGGCCCAGACUCCUACGGGAGGCAGCAG